Long non-coding RNA from Mauremys mutica (yellowpond turtle), 481 nucleotides. RefSeq lists it as uncharacterized. Lineage: Eukaryota; Metazoa; Chordata; Testudines; Geoemydidae. The transcript is spliced from 5 exons. The record is from RefSeq and is a predicted model, not a curated record.
GCAGUUUAACAGCCGGGAACAAGGAGAAGUCAGCAUUAUGUGCAUGUCCACAGACCACAGCUUGAUUACUACUAGACAAUCACGGAACGAGGAAGCUGGAGUGUAACUGAGGACAGGGAUCCUGGGGGGAAAGAACAGGAGAAGGAAAAUAACUGAGCCUCCUGGUAGUCAGCAGCAGUUGACAAAUGACCUGAUUCCACAGGUGCUUCAAAAUGGAUUCCUUGAGGACCUGUUCCAUGAUUUUGCAUCUGGAUGAGGAUUUUGCCUCUGGGUGGGACCCCUUUGCAAUAAAAAAAUCCAUUAUUUUCUCUGCUUUAGUACCCCCCAAUCUAGAAUGAAUCCACCACCCUUUGAGAAGGUUGCCAAGAGAAACUGAACAUCAGAGUAUUUUACCCACCCUGAACAAAACCUGCCAUUAUCUCUGUGCCCACCACAACUUCUCAUCAGGAUUCCUAUUCAUACACUUCCACUCCAACACAAC